Molecule: transfer-messenger RNA, 347 nt
Filed under: Acutalibacteraceae
Lineage: Bacteria; Bacillati; Bacillota; Clostridia; Eubacteriales
Also listed under: 1 other name
Description: Eubacterium_R sp900316345 Standard tmRNA
Rfam family: transfer-messenger RNA
About the family: Bacterial tmRNA, also known as 10Sa RNA or SsrA, is named for its dual tRNA and mRNA-like properties. Its role is to liberate the mRNA from a stalled ribosome.
Source: RNAcentral
GGGGAUGAAAGGAUUUCGACAGGGCAGUUGAGCCUUGGUCAGCGGGUAGAGGAGUUGCACCUCUUUAAAAGUAACACCUUAAAAUUAACUGACAAUAAACCAGUUUUAAAGGCUGCGUAAACGCAACCCGUUCUCUUUAGGUAGGGCCACGGACCUUUUGAGGGCGUCGACUUAGUGGCGAACAUGAACAGGGAAUUGCUCCGCUCCCUGUCAGGUAUUAGGGGCUACCGUAACCGAUAGGCUGUUUGCCGCCGCUCGGUGAGAGGAAUCAUAAUUGACAAACUACACCCGUAGAGCCCUUGGUAAGGCAGUUUUGGACGCGGUUUCGAUUACCGCCAUCUCCACCA